GGCCCUGUGGCGCAACGGAUAACGCGUCCGACUACGGAUCAGAAGAUUCCAGGUUCGAAUCCUGGCAGGGUCG
This 73-nucleotide transfer RNA is filed under the name Manduca sexta (tobacco hornworm). Its description in RNAcentral is "tRNA-Arg". It matches the Rfam family "tRNA". Rfam says of the family: Transfer RNA (tRNA) molecules are approximately 80 nucleotides in length. Their secondary structure includes four short double-helical elements and three loops (D, anti-codon, and T loops). Lineage: Eukaryota; Metazoa; Arthropoda; Insecta; Lepidoptera; Sphingidae. The record is from RNAcentral.